RNAcentral lists this small RNA (29 nucleotides) under Bombyx mori (domestic silkworm). RNAcentral's name for it is "ovarian small RNA-26543". Lineage: Eukaryota; Metazoa; Arthropoda; Insecta; Lepidoptera; Bombycidae. The record is from RNAcentral.
UCCAAGGGAAAUUUCGCCACUGCUUGGUC